GUCACCGGCGCGUGAAUACAUAGCGCGCAUGGAGCGAACGCGGCGAACUGAAACAUCUCAGUAGCCGCAGGAACAGAAAUCAACCGAGAUUCCCAAAGUAGUGGCGAGCGAAAUGGGAAGAGCCUGCACGAUUUAGCAAUUGCGUUAGCCAAACGCUCUGGAAAGGGCGGCCGCAGUGGGUGAUAGCCCCGUAGGCGAAAGCGCGGAUGUGGAACUGAGUGUGCGACAAGUAGGGCGGGACACGUGAAAUCCUGUCUGAAGAUGGGGGGACCAUCCUCCAAGGCUAAAUACUCGUGAUCGACCGAUAGUGAACCAGUACCGUGAGGGAAAGGCGAAAAGCACCCCGGGAGGGGAGUGAAAUAGAUCCUGAAUCCGCAUGCAUACAAACAGUCGGAGCUCCGUCACUCAAUUGCUUUGCAAUGGAGUGGCUCCGCUCCUCCUAAAAACUAGUGUCUAGAAACUAGAAACUAGAGAAAGUCAGGCCGUGCUGGCGCACGGCGUUGUUCGUACGAUAGCAGCGCAGCUGCUCUGAAUUCUCUAGUUUCUAGUCUCUAGUAUCUAGUUUCUAGAACGGAGUCACUCGAAGCGCAAAGCGCUUGAGUGACGGAGUGACGGCGUACCUUUUGUAUAAUGGGUCAGCGACUUACGUUGUGUAGCGAGCUUAACCGCAUAGGGGAGGCGUAGGGAAACCGAGUCCGAACAGGGCGAUUAGUUGCACGGCGUAGACCCGAAACCGGAUGAUCUACUCAUGGCCAGGAUGAAGGUGGGGUAACGCUCACUGGAGGUCCGAACCCACUAGUGUUGAAAAACUAGGGGAUGAGCUGUGGGUAGGGGUGAAAGGCUAAACAAAUCCGGAAAUAGCUGGUUCUCUCCGAAAGCUAUUUAGGUAGCGCCUCGUGUAUCACUCUCGGGGGUAGAGCACUGUAAUGGUUGCGGGGGUCAUCGCGACUUACCGCGCCAUAGCAAACUCCGAAUACCGAGAAGUGCGAGCACGGGAGACAGACGUCGGGUGCUAACGUCCGACGUCAAGAGGGAAACAACCCAGACCGCCAGCUAAGGUCCCCAAGCACAGUUAAGUGGGAAACGAGGUGGGAAGGCUCAGACAGCCAGGAUGUUGGCUUAGAAGCAGCCAUCAUUUAAAGAAAGCGUAAUAGCUCACUGGUCGAGUCGUCCUGCGCGGAAGAUGUAACGGGGCUCAAACUGUGC
RNAcentral lists this ribosomal RNA (1206 nucleotides) under Anaerolineae bacterium. Its description in RNAcentral is "partial 23S ribosomal RNA (partial)". It matches the Rfam family "Bacterial large subunit ribosomal RNA", at positions 147 to 1192 of the family's 2925-position model. The record is from RNAcentral. Lineage: Bacteria; Bacillati; Chloroflexota; Anaerolineae.